CGAUACCAGCAUACGGAUUAAUGUAACCACAAUGCAACUCAGCAAAUCCAAAAUAGGAUACCUAGACAUCGAAAUAACCAUCACCAACAACAUCUUAACAACAGCGGUCCACAGAAAACCACUCUACCAACCAGUCAUCAUACCAAACUGGUCCCCAGACACACCAUCGUUCAAAAAGGCUGCAUUCAGAGCAUUUUUCAACAGAGCAUACAAGUACUGCACGACAGAUGAGAAGCUUAAAGAGGAACUUGAAUACAUAUACAAAAUAGGUAAAAAAACAUGGAUACAAACUAGGCUUCAUAAAAUCCGUAGAAGAAAAAAUAAA
This 325-nucleotide long non-coding RNA is filed under the name Androctonus crassicauda. Lineage: Eukaryota; Metazoa; Arthropoda; Arachnida; Scorpiones; Buthidae. The record is from RNAcentral.